RNAcentral lists this ribosomal RNA (301 nucleotides) under uncultured bacterium. Its description in RNAcentral is "partial 16S ribosomal RNA". It matches the Rfam family "Bacterial small subunit ribosomal RNA", at positions 509 to 807 of the family's 1533-position model. The record is from RNAcentral.
CAGUAGCCGCGGGAAUACAGAGGGUGCGAGCGUUAAUCGGAUUUACUGGGCGUAAAGCGUGCGUAGGCGGCUUUUUAAGUCGGAUGUGAAAUCCCUGAGCUUAACUUAGGAAUUGCAUUCGAUACUGGGAAGCUAGAGUAUGGGAGAGAAUGGUAGAAUUCCAGGUGUAGCGGUGAAAUGCGUAGAGAUCUGGAGGAAUACCGAUGGCGAAGGCAGCCAUCUGGCCUAAUACUGACGCUGAGGUACGAAAGCAUGGGGAGCAAACAGGAUUAGAUACCCGCGUAGUCCCUGUCUCUUAUAC